CGACGCGUGAGGGAUGACGGCCUUCGGGUUGUAACCUCUUUCAGCAGGGAAGAAGCGAAAGUGACGGUACUGCAGAAGAAGCGCCGGCUAACUACGUGCCAGCAGCCGCGGUAAUACGUAGGGCGCAAGCGUUGUCCGGAAUUAUUGGGCGUAAAGAGCUCGUAGGCGGUUUGUCGCGUCUGCUGUGAAAGCCCGGGGCUCAACCCCGGGUCUGCAGUGGGUACGGGCAGACUAGAGUGCAGUAGGGGAGACUGGAAUUCCUGGUGUAGCGGUGAAAUGCGCAGAUAUCAGGAGGAACACCGAUGGCGAAGGCAGGUCUCUGGGCUGUAACUGACGCUGAGGAGCGAAAGCAUGGGGAGCGAACAGGAUUAGAUACCCUGGUAGUCCAUGCCGUAAACGUUGGGCACUAGGUGUGGGGGACAUUCCACGUUUUCCGCGCCGUAGCUAACGCAUUAAGUGCCCCGCCUGGGGAGUACGGCCGCAAGGCUAAAACUCAAAGGAAUUGACGGGGGCCCGCACAAGCGGCGGAGCAUGCGGAUUAAUUCGAUGCAACGCGAAGAACCUUACCAAGGCUUGACAUGGACCGGACCGCCGCAGAAAUGCGGUUUCCCUUCGGGGCUGGUUUACAGGUGGUGCAUGGUUGUCGUCAGCUCGUGUCGUGAGAUGUUGGGUUAAGUCCCGCAACGAGCGCAACCCUCGUUCUAUGUUGCCAGCGCGUUAUGGCGGGGACUCAUAGGAGACUGCCGGGGUCAACUCGGAGGAAGGUGGGGACGACGUCAAAUCAUCAUGCCCCUUAUGUCUUGGGCUUCACGCAUGCUACAAUGGCCGGUACAAAGGGUUGCGAUACUGUGAGGUGGAGCUAAUCCCAAAAAGCCGGUCUCAGUUCGGAUUGAGGUCUGCAACUCGACCUCAUGAAGUCGGAGUCGCUAGUAAUCGCAGAUCAGCAACGCUGCGGUGAAUACGUUCCCGGGCCUUGUACACACCGCCCGUCAAGUCACGAAAGUUGGUAACACCCGAAGCCGGUGGCCUAACCCCUUGUGGGAGGGAGCCCKUCGAAGGGGGUCCCGG
Molecule: ribosomal RNA, 1068 nt
Filed under: Arthrobacter sp. PNP-1
Lineage: Bacteria; Bacillati; Actinomycetota; Actinomycetes; Micrococcales; Micrococcaceae
Description: bacterial SSU rRNA
Rfam family: Bacterial small subunit ribosomal RNA
Source: RNAcentral